GACGAACGCUGGCGGCGUGCUUAACACAUGCAAGUCGAACGGUGAUCUUGAGAGCUUGCUCUUGGGUGAUCAGUGGCGAACGGGUGAGUAACACGUGAGUAACCUGCCCCUGACUCUGGAAUAACUUCGGGAAACCGAAGCUAAUACCGGAUAUGACACAGAGCCGCAUGGUUUCUGUGUGGAAAGUUUUUCGGUUGGGGAUGGACUCGCGGCCUAUCAGCUUGUUGGUGAGGUAAUGGCUCACCAAGGCGACGACGGGUAGCCGGCCUGAGAGGGCGACCGGCCACACUGGGACUGAGACACGGCCCAGACUCCUACGGGAGGCAGCAGUGGGGAAUAUUGCACAAUGGGCGAAAGCCUGAUGCAGCGACGCCGCGUGAGGGAUGAAGGCCUUCGGGUUGUAAACCUCUUUCAGUAGGGAAGAAGCGCAAGUGACGGUACCUACAGAAGAAGACCGGCUAACUACGUGCCAGCAGCCGCGGUAACUCUAGUCU
RNAcentral lists this ribosomal RNA (494 nucleotides) under uncultured bacterium. RNAcentral's name for it is "bacterial SSU rRNA". It matches the Rfam family "Bacterial small subunit ribosomal RNA", at positions 28 to 536 of the family's 1533-position model. The record is from RNAcentral.